AGCAGCGUGGCUCAGUGGAAAGAGCACUGGAGUCAGAGGUCAUGGGUUCGAAUCCCGGCGCGGCCA
RNAcentral lists this transfer RNA (66 nucleotides) under Ornithorhynchus anatinus (platypus). It matches the Rfam family "tRNA". From Rfam's summary of the family: Transfer RNA (tRNA) molecules are approximately 80 nucleotides in length. The record is from Rfam by way of RNAcentral. Lineage: Eukaryota; Metazoa; Chordata; Mammalia; Monotremata; Ornithorhynchidae.